GACGAACGCUGGCGGCGUGCUUAACACAUGCAAGUCGAGCGGUAAGGCCUCUUCGGGGGUACACGAGCGGCGAACGGGUGAGUAACACGUGGGUGACCUGCCCUCAGCUCUGGGAUAAGCCUGGGAAACUGGGUCUAUACCGGGUUUUACCUUUCCUCGCAUGGGGUUUGGUGGAAAGGUUUUUCGGCUGGGGAUGGGCCCGCGGCCUAUCAGCUUGUUGGUGGGGUGAUGGCCUACCAAGGCGACGACGGGUAGCCGGCCUGAGAGGGCGACCGGCCACACUGGGACUGAGACACGGCCCAGACUCCUACGGGAGGCAGCAGUGGGGAAUAUUGCGCAAUGGGCGGAAGCCUGACGCAGCGACGCCGCGUGGGGGAUGACGGCCUUCGGGUUGUAAACCUCUUUCGACCCCGGCGAAUUUGGACGGUAGGGGUAGAAGAAGCACCGGCCAACUACGUG
This 459-nucleotide ribosomal RNA is filed under the name uncultured bacterium. RNAcentral's name for it is "partial 16S ribosomal RNA". It matches the Rfam family "Bacterial small subunit ribosomal RNA", at positions 28 to 507 of the family's 1533-position model. The record is from RNAcentral.